This 465-nucleotide ribosomal RNA is filed under the name uncultured bacterium. RNAcentral's name for it is "partial 16S ribosomal RNA". It matches the Rfam family "Bacterial small subunit ribosomal RNA", at positions 28 to 507 of the family's 1533-position model. The record is from RNAcentral.
GAUGAACGCUGGCGGCGUGCUUAACACAUGCAAGUCGAACGGAAAGGCUCUUGCUUGCAGGGGUACUCGAGUGGCGAACGGGUGAGUAACACGUGUGUGAUCUGCCCUGCACUUUGGUAUAAGCCUGGGAAACUGGGUCUACUACCGUAUAGGAUGAUGGUUUGGAUUCCAUUGUGGAGAUCUUUUCGGCUUGGGAUGGGCUCGCGGCCUAUCUGCUUGUUGGUGGGGUACUGGCCUACCAAGGCGUCGACGGGUAGCCGGCCUGAGAGGGUGUACGGCCACAAUGGGACUGAGAGACGGACCAGACUCCUACGGGAGGCAGCAGGGGGGAAUAUUGCACAAUGGGCGCAAGCCGGAUGCAGAGACGCCGCGUGGGGGAUGACGGCCUUCGGGUUGUAAACACCUUUAGCUAGGGACGAAGCGCAAGUGACGGUACCUGGAGAAGAAGCACCGGCUAACUACGUG